GGGGUCUGUUUAUAAAAGAGCAUCAACUCGCUUAGGCCAUGACGUUCACCCAUCCCUUCCUCUGGAGCAACCGCUGCCCUGUGAAUAAGAGCCGAUGGAGGAGAUCUCAGCUUCGGUGGUGAUGACAGAACAUGAUUUCGGUUCUGCUCCUAAACCAGAGCUGACUGAACGAAGUGGACUGCUGGAUUUACUGGAGCCAGGAGAUGGCUGCAUGGCAGACAAGGGUUUCACCAUCGAGAAGCCACUAGCUGAUCGUGGGGCAACGCUGAUUAUACCACCCUUCAAGAUGACAGUUCACUGAAGAGGAUGCUCUGAAAACACAAGCAAUCGCUCGACUUCGAAUCCUCGUAGAAAGAGCAAUAGGCAGAGUCAAGGAAUACCGCAUCUGGGAACGCACUGUCCUUUCACCUUGUCUGCGACAGUCAAUCAGCUGUGGACCGUCUGCUGUGUGAUGACCAACUUCCAGGGACCACUUGAUUUAAAAGGCUACAUCCCUGUUGAAUAGUGUUUCUACUCAAACAUGUACCUAUAAAUAUUAAAUAUAAUAUAUAAAUAUUAAAACGAGAGGCACUGAACAUUUGGAGUGGUCCCUUCAUUUUUUCCAGAGCUGUAAUUUUGUACACUGAAAACAUUGUAUAUAUUGAAUGACAUGUAAUGUAAUUGAAUGAGAAGUCUUUCAUCUAUAAUCAAUUUUAAAGUCCAGUCAGUCCAUCCU
Molecule: long non-coding RNA, 715 nt
Filed under: Gadus morhua (Atlantic cod)
Lineage: Eukaryota; Metazoa; Chordata; Actinopteri; Gadiformes; Gadidae
Description: lncRNA (ENSGMOG00000028364.1)
Source: RNAcentral